Long non-coding RNA from Polyodon spathula (Mississippi paddlefish), 1039 nucleotides. RefSeq lists it as uncharacterized. The record is from RefSeq and is a predicted model, not a curated record. The transcript has 3 exons. Lineage: Eukaryota; Metazoa; Chordata; Actinopteri; Acipenseriformes; Polyodontidae.
GCUGCCAAAUCUAAUGAAUGAAGCGUCUAUAAAGAGAACAAGAUCGUGGGAUGCUGAAAUGUAGUCGUCAUAGAACAAGGAGAGACCAUUCCAGUGGGAGAUUAAUGUGGCACACAUUUUUGUUUCUUUCCUAGCUUCGGCAGGUAUAUUGAUGUGGGAGUUUAGGUUCUUGGCUGCAGUGGAGAAUGCAAAGAGACAAGAGAUGAAUGUUCUGCCCUGCGUAAAGCAAAGUUGAAAUGGCCGAGGAGAGAUAUAAGGUCUAAUUUCUUGAUGGAGAAGGAAAUCUGAAAUGAACUGUUGAGGGAACUAUUAUGUUCUAGCUUGGCAGGAGGGAGGCUGGCUUCGAAUUUUAUCGUAUCGAGCGUUACCCAUAGGAAUUCUAGAGAAUGGUCCGGAACUUGUCUUCAGAAAGUGGGACGUCAAGUGAGGCGAACAGGGUUUUCAGUUGAUUAAUUGCUUGUGCUGGAAGAUUCGAGGAAGAAGUCAUCCAUCAAGUGGAGGAGGAAUGGAUCCAGCAAAGUGCUUCUGAGAGAUUUCAAAUAUUUUUGGGCUGCUACGGAAGCCAAAGAUCAGCCUGGAUGGAAUGCCAGCUUUUUUACUUUAUUUCAGGGCUGUCUUCCAGUCCUAGGGCUACAGAUUGAAAACAAUAUAAUGUAAUAUCAUGGACCUCACGGCUAGAAAGCAUGUACCUGGGCCUGGGGUUUUGGUUUAACCCCCAGUGGACAGUGAGCAGCUGCACCACAUUCGAGAUGGAGAGAAGCCAGCCCUUGGUUUGAUGGGGUCUGUCAGUGUGGGGAUAGUCUAUAGUGAAGAGGACAAGGGAAAAUUUUGCCCUGGAGUGAUACAAGCUAGAACACAAGGAAUACAAGGCUACAUCUUUAUGUGCCAUGGCCUCUCUUCUCACGGUCUAAGUAUCGUGAGUUACCAGGACCCUCCCUGCCUAUUUGUACAAUUGAACUUGUUUUUAGAUAUUAUUAAUGUAUGUCAGUUGUUUUAGGCAGAAUUGCUAUGUUAGAUAGAUUUUGUAUUUACUGUUUUA